AGAAUCAACGCUGGCGGCGUGCCUAACACAUGCAAGUCGAACGCGAAAACCCCGCAAGGGGUUAGUAGAGUGGCAAACGGGUGAGUAACGCGUGGGCGAUCCACCUUCGAGUGGGGGAUAACCUUCCGAAAGGAGGGCUAAUACCGCAUGACAUCCCGUGUUUGGAUACAUGGACAUCAAAGCCGGGGUCGCAAGACCUGGCGCUUGAAGAGGAGCCCGCGUCCGAUUAGCUAGUUGGUGAGGUAACGGCUCACCAAGGCUCCGAUCGGUA
RNAcentral lists this ribosomal RNA (271 nucleotides) under uncultured soil bacterium. RNAcentral's name for it is "partial 16S ribosomal RNA". It matches the Rfam family "Bacterial small subunit ribosomal RNA", at positions 26 to 285 of the family's 1533-position model. The record is from RNAcentral.